UGCCUGUAAGACUGGGAUAACUCCGGGAAACCGGGGCUAAUACCGGAUACUUGUUUGAACCGCAUGGUUCAAACAUAAAAGGUGGCUUCGGCUACCACUUACAGAUGGACCCGCGGCGCAUUAGCUAGUUGGUGAGGUAAUGGCUCACCAAGGCAACGAUGCGUAGCCGACCUGAGAGGGUGAUCGGCCACACUGGGACUGAGACACGGCCCAGACUCCUACGGGAGGCAGCAGUGGUCAU
This 241-nucleotide ribosomal RNA is filed under the name Bacillus sp. 428b_13T. Its description in RNAcentral is "partial 16S ribosomal RNA". It matches the Rfam family "Bacterial small subunit ribosomal RNA", at positions 127 to 357 of the family's 1533-position model. Lineage: Bacteria; Bacillati; Bacillota; Bacilli; Caryophanales; Bacillaceae. The record is from RNAcentral.